UGGCUCGCGAGAGUAUUGCGUAGGCCUUUGCUUCGAGAGAGAAGCUUCAGUUCGCAGCAAUAUCCUCCGCAAAACUUUCCCCGGCUAUGCAAAAAA
Molecule: microRNA precursor, 96 nt
Organism: Caenorhabditis elegans
Lineage: Eukaryota; Metazoa; Nematoda; Chromadorea; Rhabditida; Rhabditidae
Source: Ensembl